This 179-nucleotide non-coding RNA is filed under the name Antarctobacter heliothermus. RNAcentral describes it as "Ruegeria cis52 sRNA". It matches the Rfam family "Ruegeria cis52 sRNA". Rfam says of the family: Cis-encoded. Targets oligo/dipeptide ABC transporter. The record is from Rfam by way of RNAcentral. Lineage: Bacteria; Pseudomonadati; Pseudomonadota; Alphaproteobacteria; Rhodobacterales; Roseobacteraceae.
UUCGCAGCGCGUGUUUCAUGACGAUAUUGCCGAAACUGACGCCUUUCAGGCGCGCGGUGCGGAUGUAUUGCGCGGUCAUGACCUCGGCCAUCGAGGCGCGCGUCAUCCGGGCGAUAUAGCCCAUGCCGUAAAGGGCGAUGGUCAGCACCGGCAGAAAGAAAUUCUCGAAUGUCGCAUUG